UUUUUUCUUUCUUAAAACAUGUUUUUAAAAAAGGUGAGAUUCGCCUACAGUUACAACGAAUAAUAAUAUUAAGAUACACAAAUUAAAAUAGAAAAAACUGAUCAGAGUCAAAAAAGAAAAUUGUAUCCUAGUGGACAAUGGAAAACGGAGAAUCUACUGCUUAACCCACCUUAUCUCAAUAUCUUUCUUCGAUCUCACAAUGGCCGACACAAUGACCGAGCUACGAGAAAAAAUUGUUACUAUCACCAACGUCCUCUACCAUAAAGGGAUUUUUCGAGGUAAGGGAUUUUACUCACUCUUGAGCACUCAAGAUAAAUUCCAAGAUUAGCGGUAAAAAUCAAAAAUAAUCGAAAAUUUUAAAUUUAAAAACGAUUCUUUAAGAAAGAAAAAACCGUUAGAAACGAUGUAAUGAUUGUAAUUUUUCAGACCAUUUUAUAAAAAAAAUA
Molecule: small RNA, 446 nt
Filed under: Arabidopsis thaliana (thale cress)
Lineage: Eukaryota; Viridiplantae; Streptophyta; Magnoliopsida; Brassicales; Brassicaceae
Description: ATSL263480
Source: RNAcentral